This 460-nucleotide ribosomal RNA is filed under the name uncultured bacterium. Its description in RNAcentral is "partial 16S ribosomal RNA". It matches the Rfam family "Bacterial small subunit ribosomal RNA", at positions 338 to 795 of the family's 1533-position model. The record is from RNAcentral.
CCUACGGGCGGCAGCAGUGAGGAAUAUUGGUCAAUGGACGAGAGUCUGAACCAGCCAAGUAGCGUGAAGGAUGAAUGCCCUAGGGGUUGUAAACUUCUUUUAUAUGGGAAUAAAAUGAUUGACGUGUGGGAUUGUGUAUGUACCAUAUGAAUAAGGAUCGGCUAACUCAGUGCCAGCAGCCGAGGUAAUACGGAGGAUACGAGCGUUACUCGGAUUUAUUGGGUUUAAAGGGAGCGUAGGUGGAUUGUUAAGUCAGGUGUGAAAGUUUGCGGCUCAACCGUAAAAGUGCAGUUGAAACUGGCAGUCUUGAGUACAGUAGAGGUGGGCGGAAUUCGUGGUGUAGCGGUGAAAUGCUUAGAUAUCACGAAGAACUCCGAUUGCGAAGGCAGCUCACUGGCCUGCAACUGACACUGAGGCUCGAAAGUGUGGGUAUCAAACAGGAUUAGAUACCCCUGUAGUC